AUGUACACAAACAUAAAUAUCGCAAUGUACACAUUUACAUGGGACCUCUGGCCCACCCAGGCUCCCGUCUCUGGGUCGGGGGCCCUACGAGGGGCUGGCACGAGAAGGCGGGAACCUGGAGGAGGGCGAGGUCCUGCUCCCCUCCUCUCACAGCACCCCCAAAGCGUCCUGUCCCUUUGCAGCAGUGCUGGCCGGGCAGGGGCCAAACACCUGCGGUGGCUGGAGUCCCAGGCGUCUCCUCUGACCUUCCCAUCUGGCUCUCCUCCCAGACUCUUCCCGGGUCCUUGGGUCUCAGCCUCUGUGUCUCUUGUCUCCCCCAGGGCCUGGAGGGAGGUGGGUGCCCAUGCCCCGGCGCCAGUCCUGGCCCCUCCGGCCUCCUCCUGGGACUCACAGGAGGCUGGGGCUGCGGUGCAGCUCGGCGGAGGUGCUGGUGCCAUUGGCCGGCUCUCUGCUGGGGGCAGGGGUCACGCCGCAGCCCUCCCCGGGGCAGCCGUGCUGGAUGAGGAUGUCGGCACACUCCUGGCUGCCGGCACGGCGAGCGUAGGCCAGCGGGGUCAGGCCGCGGGCAUCCCGGCUCCGCACGUCCACCCCGUACUGCAGAAGGAAGCACGUUCUCACGGUUGGCAGGAAAGGUGUGGGUUCCCCCCCGGGUGGGGGGCGGUGGGGAGGAUGGAUGUCAGGGAGAUCAGGAAGGGCCCCCCAACUCACCCAGAUAAGCAGCUGCGUGAAGACCACAUUGGCCAUGGCGCUGGACAGGUGCAGGGCCGUCCGCCCGUCCCCGUCACCGUAGGUCUCGUUCACCUCCUCCUUGGACCCGUGCGCCAGGAGUGUCACCAGCAGCACGUCCGAGCUGNNGGCGUCGGGCCCCGGUUUAGCAUAGCCAUCCAGGGCCCCCUCCCAGACGCUGUUGGCCAGGGCGUUGCCCAUGGCGGUCAUGACGGCCAGCAGCUCGGGUGGCCAGUCGUCGAGGUCGAGUGAGCGGACCCGGGAAAGGUGAGCUCCCAAAUGCCGGUGCGUCCCGGAGCACUCGAUGCACAUGAGCGCGCCCAGGUUCAGGCUGGCCCAGUCUGGAUCUAGGCGAGGAGAGGAGAUGAUGGAGCCCCUCCACCCUCGAGCUCCCCGCACCCGGAGCGCCCAGCCUGGUCCCACCGCCCC
This 1155-nucleotide long non-coding RNA is filed under the name Ovis aries (sheep). RNAcentral's name for it is "lncRNA (ENSOARG00000025266.1)". Lineage: Eukaryota; Metazoa; Chordata; Mammalia; Artiodactyla; Bovidae. The record is from RNAcentral.